RNAcentral lists this ribosomal RNA (206 nucleotides) under uncultured bacterium. RNAcentral describes it as "partial 16S ribosomal RNA". It matches the Rfam family "Bacterial small subunit ribosomal RNA", at positions 568 to 774 of the family's 1533-position model. The record is from RNAcentral.
CUCGUAGGUGGCUUUGUAAGUCGGAGGUGAAAGACCACGGCUCAACCGUGGAAACGCCUUCGAAACUGUGAAGCUUGAGGCUGGGAGAGGAAAUCGGAAUUCCUGGUGUAGCGGUGAAAUGCGUAGAUAUCAGGAGGAACACCGGUGGCGAAGGCGGAUUCUGGACCAGUUCUGACACUGAUGAGCGAAAGCCAGGGGAGCAAACA